AUAGUCAUGGGGUUAGGAUGCAGGAAUCUUGUCCCACAUCUAUGAACUGCUUCCAGGUCUGCUGACUUAGCCCAGACUUGGGGAAAGACUGACCACCUCAAGUUGCCAAAUGCCUUCACAAUGGCUUUAAGAAGAGGUAUGUUGAGUUGUGGAGCUAGCUGCCUUUGAUGCUGGAAAUACACCGAAAAACUGGACAAUGAGCUCCAACUUCCUCCUGCUCCCCAUGGCGGGACCUCAUGAAGAAUGAAAAGACUCCUGACUCCAGUGGGUCAUCAAAUUGAAGGCCAAUGAACUCUGGCACUGGCCAACUUUCUACUGAAGCGUGGCAUCACCGGCUGAGUGGAGGAAGGCGUACCCUAGAGAAAUUCUCCUACAGGCCAAAACUGUCUUCCACCACGCCUGCUGCUCUGACAAAAUUGGUGGGGAAGGGCAUCCCUGUUACCUUCAUCUAGCAAUUGGGGGACCACUCUCCCCCUAAUCUGCCCACCCUCUGGCCUGUUCCACUCUACUGCACUCCCUCCCAUUUUCUUUAAACUCUCCGCUCCGUAGUAGUUUUUAAAAUUGUUUCCUCGUUUCCCAGCCCCAUGAGCCCCCUCUCUGCCACCCACGAUCCUAGUGCUAAUGUCAUAGAGACAAAAGGCAUAAAGUCAAAACCAAGGCAAAAAUAUCAAACCACUCUUAGUGCUGCUCACCAUAACACUACAGGACAGCUCAGAAUCAUUUUGGCCAGGGCCCUCUCUCACUGAUUAUUCAUUCAUUCAAUCGUAUUUAUUGAGGACUUACUGUGUGCAGAGCUUACUGUACCCAGAUUAUCACCAUCUGGGUACCUAGCAAGCUUUUAAGUGGGUCAUGGUAACUCACUGAACAGAAGAGGAAGAAUAUAUAUUAGGGAAGAUGAUUUCAACUAAAGUUUCCUUUGUUACAUGCUAACAUAUUUCAGGUUGUUUAGUCAAAUGAAAUCUAAACAAAACAGGUACUUAUAAACUAAUCUUUCAACAUAUUUCGUAGCCUCCGCUGUCCACUUCCUGCAUUCUCUUUGUUGACUGGAAACUACAGCUUAGAAGACUCCUUGGCUGGAGUCAGAGCUGAACUGGGAGUUCUCGCUAAGAAUUUCAAUUCUUCAGGUGAAUUGUAAUAAGCUAGAAAGUACUGCCCUUCCCACCUGCUAAUACGUUCCUUGGUUAUUCAUGUAUCCAUUUGUUUCAUACAGCUUUAGGCUUAUGUUUGAUCUAAGAUCUGACUGGCUCAGCACUUCAGUGUCUUCCUUCCAGUUUUGCGUGCCCAAAGUGUCGACCCUCUCCUAAAAGCUGACAGAAGACUUUUCCCAGGCCUCUAAACCAUUUGAGUUCCAUAAAUCAUCUUCCUCCAAGUAUCUUGGGAUGCUCCCUGUGAAAGGUCUUCUAAAUAAAUACGUAUUGA
Long non-coding RNA from Tachyglossus aculeatus (Australian echidna), 1419 nucleotides. RefSeq lists it as uncharacterized. NCBI's taxonomy places the organism in Eukaryota, Metazoa, Chordata, Mammalia, Monotremata, Tachyglossidae. The record is from RefSeq and is a predicted model, not a curated record. The transcript is spliced from 3 exons.